GUGCUUGCCUCAGUAGCACAUAUACUAAGAUAGGAACACAGAGAAGAUUAGCAUGACCCCUUGCACAAGGAUGACAUGCAAAUUUGUAAAGCUUUACAUAUUUUA
This is a small nuclear RNA of Tupaia belangeri (northern tree shrew), 105 nucleotides long. The record is from Ensembl. Lineage: Eukaryota; Metazoa; Chordata; Mammalia; Scandentia; Tupaiidae.